This 253-nucleotide ribosomal RNA is filed under the name uncultured bacterium. RNAcentral's name for it is "partial 16S ribosomal RNA". It matches the Rfam family "Bacterial small subunit ribosomal RNA", at positions 524 to 776 of the family's 1533-position model. The record is from RNAcentral.
UACGUAGGGGGCAAGCGUUGUCCGGAUUUAUUGGGCGUAAAGAGCGUGUAGGCGGCCAGGUAGGUCGGUUGUGAAAACUGGAGGCUCAACCUUCAGAGGUCGACCGAAACUAUCUGGCUAGAGUCCGGGAGAGGAGAGUGGAAUUCCUGGUGUAGCGGUGAAAUGCGCAGAUAUCAGGAAGAACACCAGUGGCGAAGGCGGCUCACUGGCCCGAUACUGACGCUGAGGCACGAAAGCGUGGGGAGCAAACAGG